AACGAACGCUGGCGGCAUGCCUAACACAUGCAAGUCGAACGAGACCUUCGGGUCUAGUGGCGCACGGGUGCGUAACGCGUGGGAACCUGCCCUUAGGUUCGGAAUAACUCCCCGAAAGGGGUGCUAAUACCGGAUAAUGUCUUCGGACCAAAGAUUUAUCGCCUUUGGAUGGGCCCGCGUUGGAUUAGCUAGUUGGUAGGGUAAAAGCCUACCAAGGCGACGAUCCAUAGCUGGUCUGAGAGGAUGAUCAGCCACACUGGGACUGAGACACGGCCCAGACUCCUACGGAAGGCAGCAGUGGGGAAUAUUGGACAAUGGGCGAAAGCCUGAUCCAGCAAUGCCGCGUGAGUGAUGAAGGCCUUAGGGUUGUAAAGCUCUUUUACCCGGGAUGAUAAUGACAGUACCGGGAGAAUAAGCUCCGGCUAACUCCGU
Molecule: ribosomal RNA, 432 nt
Filed under: uncultured bacterium
Lineage: Bacteria
Description: partial 16S ribosomal RNA
Rfam family: Bacterial small subunit ribosomal RNA
Source: RNAcentral